CGGGAGGCUGCAGCAGUGGGGAAUAUUGGACAAUGGGGGAAACCCUGAUCCAGCAAUGCCGCGUGUGUGAAGAAGGCCUGCGGGUUGUAAAGCACUUUCGGUUGGGAGGACUGCUUCUAGCACUAAUAUUGUUGGAAGUUGACGUUACCUUCAGAAGAAGCACCGGCUAACUCCGUGCCAGCAGCUGCGGUAAUACGGAGGGUGCAAGCGUUAAUCGGAAUUACUGGGCGUAAAGCGCGCGUAGGCGGCUAGAUCAGUCGGGUGUGAAAGCCCCGGGCUUAACCUGGGAACUGCAUCCGAUACUGUCUAGCUUGAGUACAGGAGAGGAGAGUGGAAUUCCACAUGUAGCGGUGAAAUGCGUAGAUAUGUGGAGGAACACCAAUGGCGAAGGCAGCUCUCUGGCCUGAUACUGACGCUGAGGUGCGAAAGCGUGGGGAGCAAACAGGAUUAGAUACCCGUGUAGUC
Molecule: ribosomal RNA, 465 nt
Filed under: uncultured bacterium
Lineage: Bacteria
Description: partial 16S ribosomal RNA
Rfam family: Bacterial small subunit ribosomal RNA
Source: RNAcentral